Molecule: ribosomal RNA, 465 nt
Filed under: uncultured bacterium
Lineage: Bacteria
Description: partial 16S ribosomal RNA
Rfam family: Bacterial small subunit ribosomal RNA
Source: RNAcentral
GACGAACGCUGGCGGCGUGCUUAACACAUGCAAGUCGAACGGAAAGGCCCCUUUGGGGGUACUCGAGUGGCGAACGGGUGAGUAACACGUGAGUAACCUGCCCUUGACUUCGGGAUAACUUCAGGAAACUGGGGCUAAUACCGGAUAGGAAUCCUUGCUGCAUGGUGGGGGUUGGAAAGCUUCGGCGGUUUUGGAUGGACUCGCGGCUUAUCAGCUUGUUGGUGGGGUAGUGGCUUACCAAGGCUUUGACGGGUAGCCGGCCUGAGAGGGCGACCGGCCACAUUGGGACUGAGAUACGGCCCAGACUCCUACGGGAGGCAGCAGUGGGGAAUAUUGCACAAUGGGCGGAAGCCUGAUGCAGCAACGCCGCGUGCGGGAUGACGGCCUUCGGGUUGUAAACCGCUUCCAGCAGGGGCGAAGCUUGUGGUGACGGUACCUGCAGAAGAAGCACCGGCUAACUACGUG